This 496-nucleotide ribosomal RNA is filed under the name uncultured bacterium. RNAcentral describes it as "partial 16S ribosomal RNA". It matches the Rfam family "Bacterial small subunit ribosomal RNA", at positions 28 to 507 of the family's 1533-position model. The record is from RNAcentral.
GAUGAACGCUGGCGGCGUGCCUAAUACAUGCAAGUCGAGCGAACGGACGAGAAGCUUGCUUCUCUGAUGUUAGCGGCGGACGGGUGAGUAACACGUGGAUAACCUACCUAUAAGACUGGGAUAACUUCGGGAAACCGGAGCUAAUACCGGAUAAUAUUUUGAACCGCAUGGUUCAAAAGUGAAAGACGGUCUUGCUGUCACUUAUAGAUGGAUCCGCGCUGCAUUAGCUAGUUGGUAAGGUAACGGCCUACCAAGGCAACGAUGCAUAGCCGACCUGAGAGGGUGAUCGGCCACACUGGACCUGAGACACGGUCCAGACUCCUACGGAGGCAGCAGUAGGGAAUCUUCCGCAAUGGGCGAAAGCCUGACGGAGCAACGCCGCGUGAGUGAUGAAGGUCUUCGGAUCGUAAAACUCUGUUAUUAGGGAAGAACAUAUGUGUAAGUAACUGUGCACAUCUUGACGGUACCUAAUCAGAAAGCCACGGCUAACUACGUG